CCAAUAGCGUAUAUUAAAGUUGUUGCAGUUAAAAAGCUCGUAGUUGAAUUUCGGGAUCAGUUGGUCGGUCGUGCCUCGGUACGUACUGGUCAAAUUGAUUCCUACCUUCUGACGAACCACGAUGUCAUUAAUUUGGUGUCGUGGGAAAUCAGGACUGUUACUUUGAAAAAAUUAGAGUGUUUAAAGCAGGCUCGCGCUUGAAUACAUUAGCAUGGAAUAAUGAAAUAGGACGUUUGAUUCUAUUUUGUUGGUUUCUAGGAUCGACGUAAUGAUUAAUAGGGAUAGUUGGGGGCAUUAGUAUUCAAUUGUCAGAGGUGAAAUUCUUGGAUUUAUUGAAGACUAACUACUGCGAAAGCAUUUGCCAAGGAUGUUUUCAUUAACCAAGAACGAAAGUUAGGGGAUCGAAGACGAUCAGAUACCGUCGUAGUCUUAACCAUAAACUAUGCCGACUAGGGAUCGGAUGAUGUUAAUUUUUUAAUGACUCAUUCGGCGCCUUACG
This 499-nucleotide ribosomal RNA is filed under the name uncultured Glomeromycotina. RNAcentral describes it as "SSU rRNA". It matches the Rfam family "Eukaryotic small subunit ribosomal RNA", at positions 591 to 1092 of the family's 1831-position model. Lineage: Eukaryota; Fungi; Glomeromycota. The record is from RNAcentral.